RNAcentral lists this unclassified non-coding RNA (327 nucleotides) under soil metagenome. RNAcentral's name for it is "partial contains 5.8S ribosomal RNA, internal transcribed spacer 2, and large subunit ribosomal RNA". The stretch from base 1 to 120 matches the Rfam family "5.8S ribosomal RNA", at positions 35 to 154 of the family's 154-position model. The record is from RNAcentral.
GAUGAAGAACGUAGUGAAAUGCGAUAAGUAAUGUGAAUUGCAGAAUUCAGUGAAUCAUCGAAUCUUUGAACGCACAUUGCGCCCCUUGGUAUUCCGAGGGGCAUGCCUGUUCGAGCGUCAUUAUAACCCCUCAAGCUCAGCUUGGUAUUGGGGCCUGCCAUCCUGGCAGCCCUUAAAAUCAGUGGCGGUGCCAUCCGGCUCUAAGCGUAGUAACUCUUCUCGCUAUGGAGUCCUGGUGGAUGCUUGCCAUUAAUCUUUUAACUUCUAUGGUUGACCUCGGAUCAGGUAGGGAUACCCGCUGAACUUAAGCAUAUCAUAAGCGGAGGA